UACGAAGGGGGCAAGCGUUGUUCGGAAUUACUGGGCGUAAAGGGCUCGUAGGUGGCCAACUAAGUCAGACGUGAAAUCCCUCGGCUUAACCGGGGAACUGCGUCUGAUACUGGAUGGCUUGAGUUUGGGAGAGGGACGCGGAAUUCCAGGUGUAGCGGUGAAAUGCGUAGAUAUCUGGAGGAACACCGGUGGCGAAGGCGGCAUCCUGGACCAACACUGACGCUGAUGAGCGAAAGCCAGGGGAGCAAACGGG
Molecule: ribosomal RNA, 253 nt
Filed under: uncultured bacterium
Lineage: Bacteria
Description: partial 16S ribosomal RNA
Rfam family: Bacterial small subunit ribosomal RNA
Source: RNAcentral